Molecule: long non-coding RNA, 1463 nt
Organism: Anthonomus grandis grandis
Lineage: Eukaryota; Metazoa; Arthropoda; Insecta; Coleoptera; Curculionidae
Exons: 2
Source: RefSeq, a predicted model, not a curated record
GUAGCUAUUUGUUUUCACAGCAAUAUCAUGGGCAAAAGAAAGAAAACCACAAAAAUUGUAAUUUUGAAAUUUUAUAUUUUUUGAUCUUUUAAGCACCAAUGCGGUGAGUACUUGUAGCUCUAUCUUUCCUUACACAACAACUACACACAUUUUCAUUAGAGAAGCCGUAAACAAAUAACAUAUCGCGAUAUUCAUUCUUUAAGAAAAAAAGCAGGUUUUCCUUCUUUUGUAAAUGGCAAUGAAUCCGCAAAAGAAGGAAAUUCACAAACCAUGUAUUACUUGAUUUUAAAACAAAAGCAUAGAUAUUUACAAUUUGACAAGAACUGUCAUUAAGUUUUCACUUCGAGUUAAAGUAGUUAAAUAAGUAAUUUGUUUCACAAACAUUGAAUAUCGGGACAUUUAUUUAUCGGGACUCAUUUACUUACGGUGUCGCAAAUGGAAACUCGCGGAAGGCAGCAAGGGAAAGUGUUCAGACGCUGUGGGGAAACUGGUUACUUUCGAGGUUUGCGGAUUAAAGAAGGUGGUCAAAAUGGUUACUGCUGGAGACAAGAACCUGCGAUUAUGAGAGCUGUUACAGAAGAUAGAUCUAGAAGUACUCGCCGCGUUGGUGCUGCAUUAAGGAUUCGCCAUUGCACUGUACAUAGAGUUCUUAAAAAAAAAUAAUUUGCAUCCGUUUCAUUUGAAAAAAGUCCAGGAUUUAUUGCCAGUGGAUGGUGAGGUGAGGCUUCAAUUCUGUUGGUGGUAGUUGAAUAAGUUGCAAGAGUGGGGAACAGAUCAAAUAUUUUGGACAGAUGAAGCAACAUUUACAAGGGCCGGAAUAAUGAAUUUAAGAAAUAACCAUAUAUGGCAUACAGAAAACCCUCAUGCGACUGUUGUUUCACAUUUUCAGCAUGAGAUAAGGAUCAACGUAUGGAUAGGAUUAAUGAGAGGUCGCCUUUUCGAGCCUGUAAUACUUCCUGAUCGGCUCAAUUCCAAUGAGUUUUUAAAUAUAUUAAAGAAUGACCUUGUUGACUUUCUGAAAGAAAUCCCCUUAGCCGCUAGACAGGAACUUUGGUUUCAAAUGAAUGGAUGUCCAGCCCGUAAUGGCAAAAUUGUGCAAAAUUCCUUGAAUCAAUGCUUUGGGGAGAAAUGGAUCGGAAGAUACGGUCUGGUAAGAAGCUCUGACCUUACGCCCCUUGACUUUUGUUUUUGAUGUCUGGGGCAGAUCAAAAUGUAAUGUUUAUAGUAUUAACAUUAAUACUCGAAACGAACUAAUUAAUCGAAUUAGUGUGUGUUGCAAUGAAAUGCGACAAAAACGCGUUGAACUUGAACGGGUUGUUGAUAGUAUCAGAAGAAGAUGCAUCAAAUGUAUUGAACAAGAGCGAAGACAUUUUGAACAAUUGUUGUAAUUUAAAGUUUGUUUAAUGAAAUUUUGAUUUUUUAAUUUUGCUCAAUCAAGAAAUAUAAAAUUUGAAAAUUUUCAA